UACGGAGGGUGCAAGCGUUGUUCGGAAUCACUGGGCGUAAAGCGCGUGUAGGCGGCCCAUCAAGUCUGAUGUGAAAGCCUGGGGCUCACCCCCGGAAGUGCAUUGGAAACUGUUGGGCUCGAGUCCCGGAGAGGAGGGUGGAAUUCCUGGUGUAGCGGUGAAAUGCGCAGAUAUCAGGAGGAACACCGAUUGCGAAGGCAGCUCGCUGGGACGUUACUGACGCUGAGACGCGAAAGCGUGGGGAGCAAACAGG
This 253-nucleotide ribosomal RNA is filed under the name uncultured bacterium. RNAcentral's name for it is "partial 16S ribosomal RNA". It matches the Rfam family "Bacterial small subunit ribosomal RNA", at positions 524 to 776 of the family's 1533-position model. The record is from RNAcentral.